ACUCCUACGGGAGGCAGCAGUGGGGAAUAUUGCACAAUGGGCGAAAGCCUGAUGCAGCGACGCCGCGUGAGGGAUGACGGCCUUCGGGUUGUAAACCUCUUUCAGCAGGGAAGAAGCGCAAGUGACGGUACCUGCAGAAGAAGCACCGGCUAACUACGUGCCAGCAGCCGCGGUAAU
Molecule: ribosomal RNA, 177 nt
Filed under: uncultured soil bacterium
Lineage: Bacteria
Description: partial 16S ribosomal RNA
Rfam family: Bacterial small subunit ribosomal RNA
Source: RNAcentral